This 793-nucleotide long non-coding RNA is filed under the name Olea europaea subsp. europaea. Lineage: Eukaryota; Viridiplantae; Streptophyta; Magnoliopsida; Lamiales; Oleaceae. The record is from RNAcentral.
GUUAUUGAGAGAGAAUUGCUUUAUCGUAUUUGUUAUAUAUUGUGUGAUUAAUGAAAGUUUAUUUAUUUGAGUGCAAAAAUUGAUAUUUAUCACAACUUCUACCCAUCAGGAGGAAUGGGGGGAUUUAUCAAAAAUAUUCUCUGACUAUGUUCACCCAGUACAUCCAUCAAUCCCUCCAUUGGAUUUUACCUAGAUGUAUCUGGAAUGAGGUAUGUUACAUGAACCGUAGUUCACCUCCAAAAGUUUUUGUGCAGCUUGGGUUGUAUGAUCACAAUAACGGUUCACUAUGGAAAAUAUGAGGGAGCUUUGUCUUGAUUACGGGGUGGCUAAUGAAAGGACUGGGAAGCUUUAUGUAUGUAACUAACUAAGCUUUUUUAGUCCUUCAGUUUUGAGUUCCAAGAAGCAUUUUGGGACAUCAUAUGCUAUGAUAAAUUCGAUUUUCUAUAUAUUCACAAACUGGUUUCUACGUGUAAUACAUUUUCUAUAGAUUAGGUGUGGUCGAUAACUUAAUUUAAAUCUUGAUGUAGACACACAAAACACAAAACUUAUAAUUUUUUUGCUGCUGUAUCCUUUACUGCAGGUAGUGAAGGAAUAUCAACGGUGAAGCAGUAAUGUUGGAGGAAUCCUUAUGACAUUCCUGAGAAGAGCUUGCCAUUAACAAAUCCCGUGGUAGAUGAAAAGACAGUUUAGUAGAUUUUGCAUGACUAUACGAACUUGUGCACUACUAGCCUGUUUUUAAAGGAAUUUGAAUUUCAUAAAGUAGAACAGAAAAUAUAGGCUUUUUGUAAUGGAU